Monomorium pharaonis (pharaoh ant) is the source of this 6650-nucleotide long non-coding RNA. RefSeq lists it as uncharacterized. The transcript is spliced from 7 exons. Lineage: Eukaryota; Metazoa; Arthropoda; Insecta; Hymenoptera; Formicidae. The record is from RefSeq and is a predicted model, not a curated record.
UAGGUUUUUAUUUAUGUAACUUUUAAUUUACCUGAAUUAAUUUUAUAAUCCAUUAACUUUAAUUUAAUUUAGUUAAAAAAAUAUAUUAACUUACCCAACUCUGGUGAUGUCGCAAAUAAAUCCAAAGACUAUUUUCUGCGUAUCUGCAGCAGCGAAAUCUGUAUUCUUUAAGAUUAUAUCGAUUCUAAUUUGACUUGCCUUAUCAUAUACUUAUUGUCUUGAAUCUCCGUUUAGUUAUUUAGAAAAAGUCAAUUUGUCAAUAUAUUAUAUAAAAUAAAUUUCAUCGAACAUACAACACUAAUUAAAGUAUUGGAGUAGAAUAUUUUUAGAAUGAGAUAUGAUAAAUACAUUUGUAAUUGGAUCAGCGAUAAAUUGGAGAUUUAAAUAAAAUAUUCAACUCUUGAUUGUCAAAUUACGCAUUAGUUUUAUAAUAUUAGAUUUAUAAUAUUUUAGUAUCUUCAGGAAAGAUCUCAUAAUGAUCGAAAUUGUCGUAAUAGCGAAAUAUCCAUUUACGACGAAUAUAAGCAGGUUGUUUUCCUCCACACAUCGUACAACAAAGAAUAAUAAAGAAACGAUAAUCUAUUAACGGAAUGAUUUGUCAUAUACGGGGAUCGGUGUGUAAAGAAUAUUAAUUGCUUCAUCGAUGAUUCUACGCGGAAGAUGGUUGGUCUACAACGUAGAAAAAUUCUAAGAGACGAGUAUGGAAGCAUUAGAGUGUUAAUGAAACGAGAGUUUUCGAUUCGCUUUUGAGACAGAAAAACGAUAAUCGAGAAAACUUCGCAGGAGAGACAUUCCAACAAAGAACUAUUCACGAACAAAUAUAUCUCUUCAAAGAGAUAUUCCUAAGAAGACAUUUGUUAAGAAUUAUUUUUAAAAAGCGUAUCCUAUGGGAAAGGAUUAUCUGAAGGAGAAAUUUAUAGAAACAUCUACCGGGAGAAGGAAGAACGAUUUCAAAGGGAUACUUUCAAUCGGAGUAUUCGUAAACGGAAAUACAGUCGGAGAAAAAUUCUUGAAAAGAUUAUACUCGCUUAAAGAGAAAUUUUCAUAAAUGCGUUUCUCCGAUGAAAUGUAAUGAUAUAUUUAGAAAAAAUACCACAAAUGAGACACAAUAAGGAGAUAAUUAUUCAUAAAACGAUUCGCGAUGAUUUCAAGGAAUUCUUUCGGAGACAUUCUAGGACUUCGAAAACACUACUAAAGAACUGUCGGUGACACUUUUAUAUCAAAGAGAAAGACACACACUUUCUUUCUCUCUUUCUCUCUUUUUUUCACAGGAUAACAAGGGAUAACAAUCACUGUUUUUCCUUGAUUCUUUUGAAGAGAACAUUUUUCGGAAAAAAAAAAAAGUUCGCGAAGCUUAUUUCUUCUUUUCUUUUCUCUGUGAUCGUUUCUUAUUUUCAAAAAUUGCUUUUCUUUCCUGGAUUCUCUCAGCAGAGAUUGAUAAUCUCUUUGUCACAGCUGAUAGGCAAGAAUGACAUUCGAAGUGGCGUUCAUGCAAGCGCCGUAUGACGUCGCGACGCUGGAUCGACGAAUUGAGCGUCGCAACUUCGGUUUUACGUAAUGUCAAUUUGUUGCUAUUGCUGCUGGUGCUACCAACACUGUUGGGAGGGACUCGUCAAGGUCACGGGUUGUGGAAAACGCGCCGCAGACCCGUAACAAGACGCAGCCAAAGUCGUCGUUGAUUCUACUAAUUUAGUGAGAAGCAAAGCGUUCCAUCAGUCAAGCUGAAUCAGCGGAAGCCUUUGCAGAAGGCGAAGUAAGUGAAGACACCCAAGGUAAUUCUGUAAAUCGAUCGAUUUAACGAUCAAUUUAGUAGAUCGAGGAAAACGUGCAAAAGUAGAAGAAGAAGAAGAAGAAGAAGAAACGAAGAAACCAAGAAAAAAUCAGAUAAGGAAUUGAAGAACAAAUACAAGCAGAAAAAAUUUAAGAAAUCGAGAGCAAAGAAAAAACUACAAAUUUUGAAGAAAUUUACAACGAAGAUCAACUUGUAUAUUAAAGAAAGGAUUGUCAAAGUGGAGUUAAAGUAGUAAAGUUGAAAGAUUUCAAAAUUAAUCGAAGUGAGAAAGACGUUCGGUGAGAGACAGUGUACUACUUAGUUCAAGUGAACCGUAGCAAUGGUACUUGUAUGGAAACGACAUUGAGGAAGGUAGUUUUAGGGGAAAGGACUGUAAAGGAUUCGGGAAAAAGUUCCGAGGAAAAAAAACAGAAGAAAGACGGUUAAUGUGAGACAGGUAGACAGCUUUGGAGGAAGAACCGAAACUUAAGAAAACAUCCGCGGGAGUCCGAGAAGGAAACAGAACCAAGUGAGAUAUCAUCGGCCGUUCUUAAAGAAAACACCCAUCGUUUCAAGGCAACACUCGAGUAUCUUACUCGUGGAGGACACUGCAAGUGUCUUUUCCUGUCGAGAUAUCAUCAGACACGACGUCUCAUCGUCUUCCUGGAUCACCGAUCGCAUCUGAACGGCCUUCGCAGAAGCGCUCCAGGAAUUUGCGGAAAUUGCGCACGCGUUUACUGAAGUUUCGGAACGGCUGCCGCGCGAGUGCAUGACUCUCGCGUUUGUUGUGUUGUUUGUUAAUGAAAGUGUCCGGCCCGUUUUCGCAGAUCCGUCGUGACUCUCGGCUCGCGUGGACGCGCAUUAUCGAUUCUCGCGCAUCGAGUGUAUUCCCGUCGAAGUAGACCACUUUCAGAGAUUUUGAAAUUGUUUCAGAUUGGAAUACACCGAAUGCCCGACAUUGCUCGACGCUCCACAGAAGAUUUUUGGACGCAGGCAGGCAGACAAUGAGCGUUAGAAUUGUCGUGAGUGUCACUGAACUUACGAAUAUGGACGCCAAGGAUCGCUACGUCAUCGAAGGCAUUGCACUUUCCACAGCCACUGAGGAUGUCGGUGAAGGGCCCCAAGGGCACGAGAACGACACUGAUCCAUAUUCGUUGUCGCAUCUCGAUCCACCUACCGGUAGUGUCUAUAUGAUAGGUGGAGUGCUGAUUGCUAUGGUUCUGGUGGGCGUCUUAAUCGUCCUCCUUGCUGUAACGAUCAGCAAGCUGCGGAAACGCGAGGAUCAUCACUCGAGCUCGGGCGUGGUGCACCCCGAGACAACGGUGGUGCAGACGGCGACGUCGCUCACGACGAUCGGGACACCGACGGCACCUCCGGACGGUUGCUGCACGCAGAUGUCCACGACCACCAUGUCGACCGACCUCGGCAACAGCGUUUGCGACGAGCACGUAUUCGCCGCGACGACAGUGACACCGUCCGCCAAUCCGGUCGAUCCAUUCGCGUGGCAAUUCCCGCCCCCGUACCCGCCCCCCCACAUGCCGCCGGCGCAGUAUACGUUGUACAACGAUCAGGAUACCCUUGUACACGGUUUGCCGUCGGAUCGGCCUGGGUUUGCGAAGGGCUUCCGCAAGAAUCUUGGUGGACGCUGGCGUCGACUAGUGAAGCGGAAAGCGGAGACGGAGACCUGUGCCAUUCCUCCCGAGCUGAAGGAUCAGUUAAAAACUAUCUACGUUUACUGAUGGCCAAAAGCCUAUUCCGAAAGUCUGAGAGCCCCGAAAAAGGAAUUUGAAUUAUUUGAAUUAAUAAUAAAGGAUUGAUAGAAACACGAUGAUUAUUGAUAGAAAGAGGCUCUAGUCAAGAAGUCGAGGAAAACGUGAAAGAGAUUGAAAUGAAAAGAGAGAUUAGAAAAGACAUGAAGCUAACAGUGAUAUAAAGAGCGAAAUAGAAAAAAAAAUUUUUAGGAGAGUAUAAAAUGAUGGAAAAUCUAAAGAGACAGAAAAACAUUCGGGGAAGGAGUGGCGCAAAUCGAUACUCGGAUGCUGGCCAAUAAACAUAUCAGGAAGUGUGCCUAAAGAGGAUGCAACGAAGUGCCUUCUUUUAUUCCACAAGCGCCUUCUCAUGAGACUGAUACCGCGAAGAAAUCGCGAUACAUGGGUGCGACAAAGCGAGUUACCUCGUAGCUUCUGCGUAUGUUUUUGCGCAAUUAAUUAAUAGCCGACAAAUCACCGUACUUCGGAUAGUUAACUAGUAUUAGCGCGUCGGCUGGAUUUACGGACGAUGCGAGUGGUGUGUGAUCGACCAUUCGGUAAAUUAGAAUUCCACAAACAAUUCCAACUCCUGCUUUUUAGUUUUUGCAAUUUUGAUCAUAGCUCAAUUUUUACAACUUCUACAAAUCGAAGAAGUUGCAAAUUUGAGAGAAAAUUCAAUCGUGAAACUUUCAAUUCUUAUUUAUUAAGAGAUAAAAACAGCAUAUACAUUUUCCUAUUGAAGUGCAAACUAGUCGUAUAUUGAACGAGAAGACUUGCAGCUGCUGACGAUAUUAUCGUGCGAAUCACAUUCUUUGGCGAGGACAACGAAACAGUCCGUACUUUGUACCAUCUAUAAGUAUAUAGUGUAUGUUCGAAGUUAAAGCUAAAGAUCAGAUAUUAUAACUUAAGAAGAUCCUCUUUGAUUAUGAUUUCAUAUUUAAUUUAAUGAAUUUUACGGAAUAAACAAACUUGAUUUACUUUGGCUUUAUACGUGUCAUACGCGUGCGUUUUUUUCUUCUUGAGGCAGCUGAUUCUCAGUUCAUCUUAUGCGAAUGAAGUCGAUCGCCCGCUAUCUUGUUCCCGUAAUUGAUUUCGAGGCCGCCGACGUCAAAGUGUGUAAAUAAUGUGUAGCGAUCUCUCUGGACAAAGGUCCGCGGGAUAUACGAUUUAAUUAACGAACUUCGGUGUUCCUAAGAAUCCUCAGGGGUCUGCAAAAAGGUUCUAGGAUUUGAAAAAUCCUGCCGUUAUUAGAAUGGAAUGCGGCGCCUCGAAAUAAUACGAUAGGCCAAUUUAAAAUUAUUGAACUAUUACGACGGCUCAUAUUGAGUCCGCUUUAUUAUAAUGCUGACGUGAUAUUUCAUUUGUGCGCUUACGUUAACCCUUUGACUACUAUUUAAUGCAUAUUCGACGAUUAAAAUAUUAUAAAAUAUUACAAAUAUUUAAAAAUCACAUUCUUAAAGAAAAUCUCAAACACUGUUGAUUGAUUAUGAUAUUUAAUAUAAUUAUUUUUAUAUCUAACCCAACAUUUAAUUGAUAAUUUAGUAAUUUAAUAAUUAGCAAAUAUUCUCGAGAGGAUUAGAAUAAAUUUUAGUAUCUUUUAUUGGCAAACAAUAAGAAUGAUUCUUUGUAAUAAGUGAUUUUAUUUAUAGACACAUCAUAUACUUAAUGGAUUAAUUUUUGGUCGAAGGGUUAUAGCGUGACGCCAGAAAAGGAGCUUCUUGCGUCAGUGAUUAGUUUAAAGAAAUCGACGGAGAUGACGUUCGGUCGUUGGAGAAGUUUUGCGGAUUUGAUUAGUUAUUAAACUUAGGACAUACUUAAACACAAAACUUUAUUUUUACAAAAAAAGGAUAGGAAAAAUUAUGAUUAAAUUGUUUCUAUUAUAGAAAUUAUUGGCAUUAUUCGUGAAUAGAAAUUAUUUAUACAAUUUUAAUAACAACAAUUUUGCACGUAAUAAAAUUAUUUUAAUCACUUUUUAUUAUAUAUAUGUAUAUAAUUUUUUAAAAUAUUUUCUUAUACAUUUGCAUUUUCUAUCAGCGCAGAUAUUUAUUUUCGCGCUAUUCAAAUUCGGCAAAAAUUGAUAAUGCUUCACUAAUGACCGAAAAUCUAGAGGAUUAUGAUCCUCAGUAUAGUAUAGUAAAGUGUUAUUAGUAUAAUGAGUGAUCCGUCGAUUUUUAGAGUUAUUUUUAAGGGUAUAACCGGCAAUAUUUCUUGCGACGAAUUCAACGAAUAUUUUAUUGACUCGUAAUUUAAUUCUUUAAAUGUGUCGCAUUCGGAAAAGAAAGCAAGUUCCAAUUUUUUAUACGAUAAAAUAUCCCUUUUUGAUGUAUUAUUAUCUAUCUUAUGACAAUUCAAUGAUCCAUUCAUUAAGUGUUGAGGAAAAAGGAUAAUAUUUUAAAAAGAAAACAUUUGACUUUUGCGUAGCUGGCCAAAAUAAUUGAGUUUAUCAAUUAUCUGGAUGCAUAUUUCAAUUUGAAUAGAAAAUACUCGUAACGCGUAUUCAAUUUUAAUUUGAUGUUAUCAAUUGUCAUUUCGUUAUUGUCAGUAAUAUUAAUUUGUAGCGAGUAUAUUGUUAUACGAUGUCAGUGUGAAAUUGCGUUACGUAAAGGAUUCAAAUUUAAACAUUGUAUGUAAUUCGUUUUAUUAUUGUAUUCUAAAACAUAAAUUUAGGAGUGCCUUCACGUAGAAAAGAUAAGAUAAUUGCACAAGAUUAGUUGCAACACCAUGUGUAGUACGUUAACAGUCUCCGGUGCGCUCUACACUCAGUGAUCAAAUUUCUAAGUAGAAUCAUACCUUUUUGUUUAUGCAAUUAAUUGUAUGAUUCAAUUGCUUUGUGUAGAACAAAACGAAAAAAGAUCAAUAAGUCAUCUGUCACGAAUUAUUAAAUGCGUAUAUGCUGUAAACGCGGAUAUGCUAAACAUGGAUCCAGAUUGUACAGUGUAUAGUAAGUCAUUUCUGUUCCCUUUCUCCGUCUUUUUUUGUAAAUAGAAAGUAUCAGGACGGGAGGUCGCGCUUCCCGUCACCUAGUCACUCGUUCGAUUAAUUUUGUUAAAAUGUAGCUGUAACGAUGAAAAACAACCGACGCAGCUUAUUCUCCCCAAACAAUAAAGACAGCAAAUAAAAAAAAACAAAAA